RNAcentral lists this ribosomal RNA (510 nucleotides) under uncultured Desulfobulbus sp. RNAcentral's name for it is "bacterial SSU rRNA". It matches the Rfam family "Bacterial small subunit ribosomal RNA", at positions 903 to 1382 of the family's 1533-position model. Lineage: Bacteria; Pseudomonadati; Thermodesulfobacteriota; Desulfobulbia; Desulfobulbales; Desulfobulbaceae. The record is from RNAcentral.
CCUUGCCAGCCCGCUCAGAAACUCGAAAGGAAGUUGACGGGGGCCCGCACAAGCGGUGGAGUAUGUGGUUUAAUUCGAUGCAACGCGAAGAACCUUACCUGGUCUGACAUCCCGGAGACCCUUAGGAAACUAGGGGGUGCUUCCAUCUGGAAGAAUCUGGAGACAGGUGCUGCAUGGCUGUCGUCAGCUCGUGUCGUGAGAUGUUGGGUUAAGUCCCGCAACGAGCGCAACCCUUGCCUUUAGUUGCCAGCAGUUCGGCUGGGCACUCUAAAGGGACUGCCGGUGUUAAACCGGAGGAAGGUGGGGAUGACGUCAAGUCCUCAUGGCCUUUAUGACCAGGGCUACACACGUACUACAAUGGCCGAUACAAAGGGCAGCGACACUGCGAGGUGAAGCCAAUCCCGUAAAAUCGGUCUCAGUCCGGAUUGGAGUCUGCAACUCGACUCCAUGAAGUUGGAAUCGCUAGUAAUCGUGGAUCAGCAUGCCACGGUGAAUACGUUCCCGGGCCUU